This 136-nucleotide small RNA is filed under the name Rhizobium sp. PDO1-076. RNAcentral describes it as "Alphaproteobacterial sRNA ar35". The stretch from base 17 to 136 matches the Rfam family "Alphaproteobacterial sRNA ar35". The record is from Rfam by way of RNAcentral. Lineage: Bacteria; Pseudomonadati; Pseudomonadota; Alphaproteobacteria; Hyphomicrobiales; Rhizobiaceae.
UGGGCGUCAGGGUGUGAGUGCGCAGAGCGCGCGGACACUGCAGAUCGCAUGGCACGUUUCCGUUUUUGACCACGGAUGUACUGGCAGGGAUGUAGAAACGUAAAGGAAAGGCCGGUUUUCACCGGCCUUUUUGCUU